AUUGAACGCUGGCGGCAGGCCUAACACAUGCAAGUCGAGCGGAUGAAGGGAGCUUGCUCCUGGAUUCAGCGGCGGACGGGUGAGUAAUGCCUAGGAAUCUGCCUGGUAGUGGGGGAUAACGUCCGGAAACGGGCGCUAAUACCGCAUACGUCCUGAGGGAGCAAGUGGGGGAUCUUCGGACCUCACGCUAUCAGAUGAGCCUAGGUCGGAUUAGCUAGUUGGUGGGGUAAAGGCCUACCAAGGCGACGAUGGGUAACUGGCCUGAGAGGGUGAUCGGUCACAUUGGGACUGAGAUACGGCCCAGACUCGUACGGGAGGCAGCAGUGGGGAAUAUUGCAUAAUGGGCGGAAGACUGAUGCAGCAACGCCGAGUGCGGGAUGACGGCCUUCGGGUUGUAAACCGCUUUCGCCUGUGACGAAGCGUGAGUGACGGUAAUGGGUAAAGAAGCACCGGCUAACUACGUG
This 464-nucleotide ribosomal RNA is filed under the name uncultured bacterium. Its description in RNAcentral is "partial 16S ribosomal RNA". It matches the Rfam family "Bacterial small subunit ribosomal RNA", at positions 29 to 507 of the family's 1533-position model. The record is from RNAcentral.